RNAcentral lists this ribosomal RNA (936 nucleotides) under uncultured bacterium. RNAcentral describes it as "bacterial SSU rRNA". It matches the Rfam family "Bacterial small subunit ribosomal RNA", at positions 8 to 916 of the family's 1533-position model. The record is from RNAcentral.
AGAGUUUGAUCAUGGCUCAGAUUGAACGCUGGCGGCAUGCUUUACACAUGCAAGUCGAGCGGCAGCGCGGGACUCAGGCAACUGAGCCCUGGCGGCGAGCGGCGAACGGGUGAGUAAUACAUCGGAACGUGUCCCGUAGUGGGGGAUAGCUCGGCGAAAGCCGGAUUAAUACCGCAUAUGCUCUACGGAGGAAAGCGGGGGAUCUUUCAGGCAACUGAGGGACCUUGCGCUAUGGGAGCGGCCGAUGUCCGAUUAGCUUGUUGGUGGGGUAACGGCUUACCAAGGCGACGAUCGGUAGCUGGUCUGAGAGGAUGAUCAGCCACACUGGGACUGAGACACGGCCCAGACUCCUACGGGAGGCAGCAGUGGGGAAUUUUGGACAAUGGGGGAAACCCUGAUCCAGCCAUGCCGCGUGAGUGAAGAAGGCCUUCGGGUUGUAAAGCUCUUUUGGUCGGAAAGAAAAGGCUACGGAUAACACCUGUGGUCCUUGACGGUACCGGCAGAAUAAGCACCGGCUAACUACGUGCCAGCAGCCGCGGUAAUACGUAGGGUGCGAGCGUUAAUCGGAAUUACUGGGCGUAAAGAGUGCGUAGGCGGUUCCGCAAGUCCGCUGUGAAAGCCCCGGGCUUAACCUGGGAAUGGCAGUGGAAACUAUGGGACUUGAAUCUGGCAGAGGGGGGUGGAAUGCCACGUGUAGCAGUGAAAUGCGUAGAGAUGUGGCGGAACACCGAUGGCGAAGGCAGCCCCCUGGGCUGAGAUUGACGCUCAGGCACGAAAGCGUGGGGGAGCAAACAGGAUUAGAUACCCUGGUAGUCCACGCCCUAAACGAUGACAACUAGGUGUUGGGGAAGCGAUUUCUCAGUACCGCAGCUAACGCGUGAAGUUGUCCGCCUGGGGAGUACGGUCGCAAGAUUAAAACUCAAAAGGAAUUGACGG